RNAcentral lists this ribosomal RNA (5394 nucleotides) under Triticum aestivum (bread wheat). RNAcentral describes it as "partial small subunit ribosomal RNA". The record is from RNAcentral. Lineage: Eukaryota; Viridiplantae; Streptophyta; Magnoliopsida; Poales; Poaceae.
UACCACUUCUUCGCUUCGCCCGACAGAACAUCUCCGACGCGUACAGACUUUCCACAGCCGGGAUCGCAUGACGUUGACUCAAACAGAAGAUAGGGUACCGGCCAGUAGAGCACCCGGCCGGGUACCCAGGUGACCGGAGAAUAGGCGCAGGGUCGGGAUGAAAACACACCGAGUGGAUGGAGACACUUACCAAAAGAUAAACGCCAGAAGUCUCCUCCUCGACGUCAACUUUUGUUCCACUGGUCUAGACCACCGGUAGUCCGUCGACGACAGCGGCCGCCACCACCUUCAAAACUUCGAAGAAUCCACGUCCCGAUGCGCGCAGCAGCACCGACAUAAGCUACUACCUGCUUCUUCUCCUCUUUCUCCCAAACAGACUACCGUACCUCACACUCCUCCUCUACCUUCUCUCGAACGGCCUCCGCCCCCUAGAUGCACAAAACGGUCUUCUAGUCGGCCAGUAAUGUAGAGCAGUCAGUCAGUUCGCACAACAUCUACGUCAAUCGUUUAAACUACUUAUGUUCUCUACCGAGCAUAGACUCUAACCUAAACCACCUUAGGACUUCAACGGCUACUAAUGUUCCUACCUAGACUUUUACUCACAAACCCAGUACUCCUUCCAUUUACGAGCCACAGCACAUUAACUUUAUCUACUACUGUUCUUCUAACGAAAGUGUCAGCUUCUAAAGGUGUUCCAUAAGCUGUAGGGCACACCCUUGGCUCUGCACUCACCGUCCCUACGUGUUUAACGACGAGGCCGUUAGGUCAAGUAUUUCGCAUGUUAACCAUACCUACCAAGUCAACGAGUCUUAAACUUUCGCCAACUUUCGAAAUAUUUGUCUCUCGAAAGACUCCUGAGAUCAUUCUACCUCUUCCUAACGAAAGUCUAACGUAAAUAUUAAAAACACUACCCAAUGGACUAUCGUGGCACGUGCUUCAUACUGAGCUACUGUUAACUAAAGACCCCACGAGAUCGAUUGGGCCUCAACUAACGUGUUAAGUUAACCACACUCAUACCAUAGGUCUUCGAAGACCGUCGACAUAGCUUCCACGUCUCACUAAUAGUUUCGUUUCGUCGGUGCCAGGUAGACAAACGGACGGUGAAGAAGAAGGUCUACACGUUCUAUAAGAACGAGCUAUUGUAACUCGAACCCAACAAGUUGUACGGUGUGUGACAUAAGGGCGCGCACGUUGCUAAACUUGUCUUUUGUGAGUCAGAAUACAGGGACGUCCCAACGCGGGCCGCCUGGUUCAAACGAUAUGCGCCAGCCUACACUCCUCGGUUCCGAAGUAACUACGGCUACAUUGCAGUCGGAGUCCCUCUAUGGGUUUACAACUCCACAGACAGUCCUACUUUGUCGCCUGAGGCCUUAACCAACAUGGACGUUGUUGCUGUGCUCGUCUGAGUGAUCCACUACGCUCCAGCCGCAUAGUAAGAGAACCAGGCUCCCUAAAACGUUUAGUAGAAGCUGCCUGAACGGUGCCACUAGGCCAAGAGCUCCUCGACUCGGACUACGACUUUGUUGUCUUACGUUUCACGUGCGACUCGUACAGCAACGACGCCUUAUCCUACGUCCGGCUGUACGAAUCAAAACGACUAUCUUAACAUAGUGAACAAGCCCUAGCUACGUCUACAACACUCUUCGCGCCGUCCAGUUUCACAUAAAGAAACUUAACCAGGCUGUUCAGUAGGCUUCUACGCGUCCCAUAUCUCGUCUUCCGCAAUACCUGCCAACGAGCAGCAGAGCUCUACAGACUACUCCUUCUAGACUUCUACCCGAGUGGUCUCGUGGAUCUGCGCCGUGGACACAUACUAUUAGGUCACCAACUGUUGGUUCAGUACCUUCUUUCCUUGGGUUGUGAUCUAUAUUAACCUGAAAUACGCGUCCAUUAACAACUAUGCCAAACAUCAGACAUACUGUGACGACUUCUUCUCGGCUUACAUCAGAUAAAACCCUUAUACCUUCGCUGCAACGGGUUUUCCUUCAUACGCUACAGACGUUCAAAAUGUGCGUCGGGUACCGAUUCACCCACAGAUGGUGUCGGAGGCGGUUAGAGAAACCACUUGUUCAAGUCGUGCACCUAAAGGUCCCUGUUACUAAGACUGGAGCUGUCAGAGACCAAACUCGUGUUUAAGGGCGCCUACGAUGCACAUUUACGGCGUACACACUUCGUCGUUAAAAAGCCCCGAGUAGGUGAACUCGUGCUCCAUCGACACGAACGUGAUUCCUCCAAAUUAGUCGAACUACAGCUUCGGGUUCGACACAGGUUCAUAGAAAACACCUCCCUUCAAGAACUUGGCCUAAAGAGCUGUGUACGAGAACGGCCCCUUUUCCAACGUGUAUAGUUCCGCCACGUCAACGUUUAACGUGUACGCGUGGUACUGUAUUGACGUACGGUCUGCAAGAUAUGGGGUCAGUAAGAACUAGUACCUACCCGUCGUAUAUACACCCUGUACUAGUCCUUCCUCUAAGUUUAAGAACUAGGCAACACACGAGUCGGACACCCUCGUCUUUUCGCCGUACGCUGCGUGGUCCUCCGACACAGAGUCUAUGUACUUCGUAACAAGUCAACAGAGUUACUCAAGAAACGUUCUACCGUAACAUGUAGUCUAUCUACCUUCGCGUUCAGGGGUUUCUAUUGUGCACUCCAAAAGUGUUCCCUACUCAGACCUUACACGUACAACGUACGUUAAUCCGUGAUACUACCCCUUUUCUACUGCACCGGUGACUGCUUCUCCUUAAACCUAUGAAAGGCUGUUUGUUGACAAAAGCUCCAUAAAGCAGACGUCCUACUCGUUCCCUUAAAACAACGACUAGUACAGAAUGCCCGACGAGAACUUCUUCUACUCCUUACUAGAGUAGACAAACUAACACAGAACACACCUGAAUCCUAAACUCCUGCUUCCUACUAUACACACUACACAACGUACUGAGAACGUACCUUCGUACAUCAAAAGAUUUAAUCCUAACAACUACUGCACCGUUGGAAAAAUUCAUACACCUGCAUACAAUACAUACCUAGAACACAAUAAACACCAACUUGACUAUACUAAAAUUCAAAAAAGCAUUGAUCUAACAUCAUGUAAAAGACAGUAUGUUUCCUUAGAAGCCUUACUCACUAAAUGUAUAGAUCUCUGCUUGCUCUUAAAAAAGUAUAGCAAAGUCCUACAGCCGUAUCCCCUCAAAAUAAAAUACACAUUCACGCUUACAGCUCACUCAUGACCUACCCGCACUUCUUUACGUAAAAUUUUCUAAACAUCAAUUCUAAAACAAAUGUUCACUACGCAUUAAUCCUAACGAUAGGUUAAAAAAAUUCUACACGCCAAUGUUGAAGGUUACAGUUUUCAUCCAGUCGCUGCUUAAAAAAAAACAUCAUCGUAUACAACGUCUGACUACCGUCAGAAAAAAAAUACCAAAUACAACCGAACAGUUCAAAAAACGAAGUAUACAUAAAGCGAGAACCCCUUUAUAUUUAGUAAAUAAAAGCGUGUUCACAUAAAACCAAAAAAAAUACUUGAUCAUUUACCAACCUUACACAAACCACGUGAAAGAUCUCUCUUUUAUUAGCUCGGCAUAUAUUAAGAAAGGUUCAUCCAAAUCCGGGUAAACAAAACGGUCUUAGACCCCUAAGAGGGUCUUAGGCUGGAAAUGGGUCGAAGAGGGUCUUAGAAACUCGGGGUAAACAAAAGUUAGAACAGAUUAAUCUUGGAUUGAUCUAUCCUAACAUUUUGUUUGUCCCGAGUUUCUAAGACCGUCUUCGACCCAUCCCCCAGCCUAAGACCAUCUUAGACCCUAAGACCGUUUUGUUGACCCGGAAUCAGUCUCUAUGAAUGAUAAUGCAAACGCUACGGUCGUACACUUACAACAAACGAAGUAUGCAUCACACCAAAUAUCCUUUCCGUCAGGUUCAAUAAUUGUUAAAAAAAGUCAAUAAAAAAAUCUUCAAAAAUUACCUUAAUAGAAAAAUGUAGUAGAGCUCACACAACACCUUUCUUCACAAAUAAGACUUACACCGUGUAGACGAAGCUAUAUGAAACUUAAAAUAUCUAAACAAGUGUGUGUGCGUAGGUACAAAACAUCCUUUUUAAUAGAACUUUAAACGUUAAGGAACUCUUUCUCCGUUAGAACCUAACCUAGAAACAUAAAAAACCGCCGUGGGUGUCGAACUUCUAUAGACUGUACGCCCCGCAAACGGUCGGCAGCACGUGCUCAAACAUCCCCUCAAACCAACGUAGCUUGUAACUCUUCUUAGACAGAUACAACCCUAAGAGGCCCAACAACCGCUUAAGGAGGACGUUCGUCGUCGUCUUUACCAUUCCACCAAGACCCGUUACACCACUAUUCUCGUGUGGACGUCUUCGUGUCUCUAAUCUCUACACUCGUCUUGCUAGUCUCUACAGUAAUUUUGCUUCUCGUGCCCCACGUUCCUCCGUCCUCCGCAGAGAAUACUAUUCUAAGACACUACGAGGUUGUUAUGCACCAAGUCCAUCUGCUCGAAGUCCUCAGGAGAGUUCUAUCAAAAGACACACUAAACAACUACCUUGCUCUAAAUCAGAUUAACAGAACUAACUACGUGGAAAGAACAACCUCUCUUUGUCUUUGCCACCUAUUUAAAAAGUAUUCCAUAACUCUGAAAUGGCCGGUCGACUUCUUCACAAAGUCGCGUACGUAAACGUACACCUCUGAGGUAUCCCACGACACAGACGUUCCGACAUAAUCCUUUGGUUAUAUAUUCAAUCUCUAACAUGUAUCCUAUCGGCUGAAAGUGGUUGUCCUCGUUCUGUUCUGCAUGCCCAAUACUUACAACCUGAUCUUUCUACCCGUUGUAAGGGUCACUUCCUAGCGAGGGGAGACGCACGAAGACGAUUCCGAACAAGAACUCCUUCUGAGCCACUACCGUGUAGAACAGCAGGACCAUGUGGAUGCUUUUAAGUUCCAAACCGCAGUCUUCUUCUCCGCAUGUACUAUUUCACGUCUAAUCAAACCAUACUCUUGUAUGCAUGGGACCCAUUGAUGAUCACGACAUCGACACGUUAGGUCUCCCGACCCCAAAUCUACGUAUCGUACACACAAUUCCGCUCGAAAAAGACGUCGUCGUUCAGCCAAGUACUUGAGAAACAUGUACCGUCUCCGCUGACUUCUAUCCAGCGACCUUUAUACCAAUUGUUACGACGACGUUGCAAGAACCACAACACGACUGUCCUAAACGGGACCUCCACACACUAAAGAUCGCUUUACUUAACGCCAAAAAGACUAGACUAACGUCUGGUGUCUCGACUACUUGACUAAUCGUCAUCGGACCUGUCACACGUAACUUUAGUACGAGCGGACAUCAUCCUAGCCUACAUAUAUGGUAGAUCAGAGACUGUCACGGGGAAGUCGAAAACAGACG